UUGGAAAAGCUCAAAUUUAAAAUCUGGCGGUUUUGUCGCCCGAGUUGUAAUCUGGAGAAGCGUUUUCCGUGCCGGACCGUGUACAAGUCUCUUGGAACAGAGCGUCAUAGAGGGUGAGAAUCCCGUCCAUGACACGGACUCCCGGUGCUUUGUGAUACGCUCUCGAAGAGUCGAGUUGUUUGGGAAUGCAGCUCAAAAUGGGUGGUAAGCUCCAUCUAAAGCUAAAUAUUGGCGAGAGACCGAUAGCGAACAAGUACCGUGAGGGAAAGAUGAAAAGCACUUUGGAAAGAGAGUUAAACAGUACGUGAAAUUGUUGAAAGGGAAACGCUUGAAGUCAGUCGCGUCUUACUUGACUCAGCCUUGCUUCGGCUUGGUGUAUUUCAAGUAGGAUGGGUCAACAUCGAUUUUGACCGGUGGACAAGGGGUGAAGGAAUGUGGCACUCUUCGGAGUGUGUUAUAGCCUUUUCUCAUAUACAUCGGUUGGGAUUGAGGCCCGCAGCGCGCCCUUGUGGCCGGAGGUUCGCCUCACGUAACGCGCUUAGGAUGUUGGCAUAAUGGCUUUAAGCGACCCGUCUUGAAACACGGACCAAGGAGUCUAACAUGCUCGCGAGUGUUAGGGUGGAAAACCCUUGCGCGUAAUGAAAGUGAAAGUUGAGACCCUCCGCAAGGGGGUGCAUCGACGCCCGGCCCUGAAGUUUACUGACGGUGCUGCGGUAGAGCGCGUAUGUUGGGACCCGAAAGAUGGUGAACUAUGCCUGAAUAGGGCGAAGCCAGAGGAAACUCUG
RNAcentral lists this ribosomal RNA (785 nucleotides) under Fuscoporia licnoides. Its description in RNAcentral is "Fuscoporia sp. CL-2018a partial large subunit ribosomal RNA". It matches the Rfam family "Eukaryotic large subunit ribosomal RNA", at positions 99 to 866 of the family's 3401-position model. The record is from RNAcentral. Lineage: Eukaryota; Fungi; Basidiomycota; Agaricomycetes; Hymenochaetales; Hymenochaetaceae.